This is a long non-coding RNA of Odontomachus brunneus, 1324 nucleotides long. RefSeq lists it as uncharacterized. NCBI's taxonomy places the organism in Eukaryota, Metazoa, Arthropoda, Insecta, Hymenoptera, Formicidae. The transcript has 3 exons. The record is from RefSeq and is a predicted model, not a curated record.
UUGCCGUAGCUUCUUACGCCAUCUUAGGGUGAGUUCAGAUUUUUCACCCGGGUGCACUCUAUUACUAGAAACACUAUAGUAUAUGUUACUAUGACACUUCUAGUAAUAGAAUACACUCGGGUGUGGAAUCUGAACGCAGCCUUACGUGACAACCUUACGUUACGUGAGACGUAAGCUGAACGUACGGCAACGCAUGAAAAUUUUACAUUAUGUUACGUUAUGAAGGAACAUAGAGGUUCUGUGACAAAGGUUUUCAAGUCAACAAAUAUGAAAACAUCAAAGUCUAUGAAGUUAAAAUGUUUAUGGUUGUCAUUACUCUUAAUUUAUUAUAUGAGAUUAAAAUAGAGAAACACACAAAAGAUGGUAAAAUAGAAGAUGGCUCGUGAGACCAAUUAAUCAAUAGAGAAAACAGCAAAGAGAAUGAAAAUUUGUUUCAAGAAUUAAAAACUGAUGAAGACAUGUUUGUCAAAUAUGCCAGAAUGAAUGUUCAACAUUUUAACAAGUUAUCAACCAUGCUAAGACCUUAUUUGGUAAAAGAACUAAGAAAGCUCUGUCUCCGGAACCCAGAUUAAUAAUAACAUUAAGAUAUCUUACAACAGGGAAUUCAAUAGCAAGUAUUGCAUUUUCUUUUCGAGUUGGGCAGUCAACUGUUAGACAGUUAAUGAAAGAAGUGUUUUUUUGUUAUUGUUAAUACAUUACAGUCUCUAUAUUUAGUAUGUCCAACUGAAUAACAGUGGAAGAACCGAUAGAAUAUGUCUAAAUACUUUGGAGCUAUUGACGGGAAACACAUAGUUUUGCGAUGUCCUCCUAAUUCUGGAAGAUUGUAUUUUAAUUAUAAGAAACAAUUCAGCAUUGUUCUUAUGGCAAUAUCUGAUUAUUUAUAUAGAUUUAGUUUAGUUGAUAUAGGAGCCUAUAGAAAAAAUAGUGACGGAGGCAUUUUUGAAUCGUCAAAUAUUGGAAAAUAUUUAAAAAAUAAUGGACUUAAUUUGCCCACUUCACGCUCUUAUUUUCCCGGAAGUAAUAUCUUUAUGCCUCGAUUUUUUAUCGCAGAUGCUGCGUUUCAAUUAUGUACUCGUAUAAUGAUCCAUCAGCAAUAUUUUUCCACUAUUCUUCACUCCACUAUUCUUCAACUAGACACACUUCUUUCAUUAACUGUAUAAUAGUUGACUGCCUCGAGUUGAACUCGAAAAGAAAAUGCAAUACUUGCUACUAAAUUCCCUGUUGCAAGAUAUCUGAAAAAUGUAUCACAAUUUUUGCUAUAUAGUUUAUAAUUUCGUAAAACAUUUUUUUCUAACAAUAAUUUCGAAACAUAAUUAAAAAUUUA